UGGCAUCUUGGAAGAGACCGACGGUGUCAGUUUUGAUAUAUUUACAAUGAUCAUGGACUGGUUGAACGAACAGGAAUGCAGUAAUUACGAGAAGAAAUGUAGACUGGACGAUGCAUUUAUCAGAAUUGGCCGAUAUGAUAUGCAAGAUUCUCUUGGGACCAUUGAAUAUCGACAUAGAGCUAAUACACUUCAAGAACAUCCCCAUCCGAAAGCACAACAGUUUGAUCAUGAGAGUCUGUUUGAUGAUGAUAUAGUUCAAUUAGCGAAAUAUGUCAAAUAUCUUCCGCGGGGGAAAAUAAUGGAGUUUUG
Lytechinus variegatus (green sea urchin) is the source of this 309-nucleotide long non-coding RNA. RefSeq lists it as uncharacterized. The transcript has 3 exons. The record is from RefSeq and is a predicted model, not a curated record. NCBI's taxonomy places the organism in Eukaryota, Metazoa, Echinodermata, Echinoidea, Temnopleuroida, Toxopneustidae.